This 462-nucleotide ribosomal RNA is filed under the name uncultured bacterium. RNAcentral's name for it is "partial 16S ribosomal RNA". It matches the Rfam family "Bacterial small subunit ribosomal RNA", at positions 28 to 507 of the family's 1533-position model. The record is from RNAcentral.
GAUGAACGCUGACAGAAUGCUUAACACAUGCAAGUCUUUGGCGAAGCUGUGCUUGCACAGCCUAGCCAAGGCGGACGGGUGAGUAACGCGUAAGGAACUUGCCCUGCAGUCAGGGAUAACAGACGGAAACGACUGAUAAGACCUGGUAAAGUCAGGCGGACUCAUGUCCAGCCUGAUGAAAAGAGAUGCUGCAGGAGAGCCUUGCGUCCUAUUAGCUUGUUGGUGGGGUAACGGCCCACCAAGGCGAUGAUAGGUAGCCGGCCUGAGAGGGUGGACGGCCACAAGGGACUGAGAUACGGCCCUUACUCCUACGGGAGGCAGCAGUGGGGAAUAUUGGACAAUGGGGGCAACCCUGAUCCAGCAAUUCUGUGUGCACGAUGAAGGUUUUCGGAUUGUAAAGUGCUUUCAGCAGGGAAGAAAAAAAUGACGGUACCUGCAGAAGAAGCGACGGCUAAAUACGUG